AUUGAACGCUGGCGGCAGGCCUAACACAUGCAAGUCGAACGGUAACAGAAAGCAGCUUGCUGCUUUGCUGACGAGUGGCGGACGGGUGAGUAAUGUCUGUGAAACUGCCUGAUGGAGGGGGAUAACUACUGGAAACGGUAGCUAAUACCGCAUAACGUCGCAAGACCAAAGAGGGGGACCUUCGGGCCUCUUGCCAUCGGAUGUGCCCAGAUGGGAUUAGCUUGUUGGUGGGGUAACGGCUCACCAAGGCGACGAUCCGUAGCUGGUCUGAGAGGAUGACCAGUCACACUGGAACUGAGACACGGUCCAGACUCCUACGGGAGGCAGCAGUGGGGAAUAUUGGACAAUGGGCGCAAGCCUGAUGCAGCCAUGCCGCGUGUAUGAAGAAGGCCUUCGGGUUGUAAAGUACUUUCAGCGGGGAGGAAGGGAGUAAAGUUAAUACCUUGGCUCAUUGACGUUACCCGCAGAAGAAGCACCGGCUAACUCCGUG
RNAcentral lists this ribosomal RNA (490 nucleotides) under uncultured bacterium. RNAcentral describes it as "partial 16S ribosomal RNA". It matches the Rfam family "Bacterial small subunit ribosomal RNA", at positions 30 to 507 of the family's 1533-position model. The record is from RNAcentral.